RNAcentral lists this transfer RNA (65 nucleotides) under Bradyrhizobium erythrophlei. RNAcentral describes it as "tRNA_Phe_GAA". It matches the Rfam family "tRNA". Rfam says of the family: Transfer RNA (tRNA) molecules are approximately 80 nucleotides in length. Their secondary structure includes four short double-helical elements and three loops (D, anti-codon, and T loops). The record is from RNAcentral. Lineage: Bacteria; Pseudomonadati; Pseudomonadota; Alphaproteobacteria; Hyphomicrobiales; Nitrobacteraceae.
AGAUGUAGCUCAUGGAGAGCAUCGGGGAUGAAACCCCGAAGGCACCGGUUCGAUUCCGGACGUCU